Molecule: unclassified non-coding RNA, 171 nt
Filed under: soil metagenome
Description: partial internal transcribed spacer 1
Source: RNAcentral
CAGAGUUGCAAAACUCCCUAAACCAUUGUGAACGUUACCUUAACCGUUGCUUCGGCGGGCGGCCCGGGGUCCUGCCCGGGCGCCCCUCGGGCCCAUCGCGGGCGCCCGCCGGAGGUAACCAAACUAUUGCUAAUUUAUGGCCUCUCUGAGUCUUCUGUACUGAAUAAGUCA